CCUACGGGAGGCUGCAGUGGGGAAUAUUGGACAAUGGGCGAAAGCCUGAUCCAGCCAUGCCGCGUGUGUGAAGAAGGCCUUCGGGUUGUAAAGCACUUUCAGUGGGGAAGAAAGCCUUGGGGCUAAUACCCUCGAGGAAGGACAUCACCCACAGAAGAAGCACUGGCUAACUCCGUGCCAGCAGCCGCGGUAAUACGGAGGGUGCGAGCGUUAAUCGGAAUUACUGGGCGUAAAGCGCGCGUAGGCGGUCUGAUAAGCCGGUUGUGAAAGCCCCGGGCUCAACCUGGGAACGGCAUCCGGAACUGUCAGGCUAGAGUGCAGGAGAGGAAGGUAGAAUUCCCGGUGUAGCGGUGAAAUGCGUAGAGAUCGGGAGGAAUACCAGUGGCGAAGGCGGCCUUCUGGACUGACACUGACGCUGAGGUGCGAAAGCGUGGGUAGCAAACAGGAUUAGAUACCCUGGUAGUC
RNAcentral lists this ribosomal RNA (465 nucleotides) under Vreelandella stevensii. RNAcentral describes it as "partial 16S ribosomal RNA". It matches the Rfam family "Bacterial small subunit ribosomal RNA", at positions 338 to 795 of the family's 1533-position model. The record is from RNAcentral. Lineage: Bacteria; Pseudomonadati; Pseudomonadota; Gammaproteobacteria; Oceanospirillales; Halomonadaceae.